GCCGGUCCUCGGUAGUGGCUCCCGGGACGUAUCGGUUCCCCGGAAAGGGGAACGACACCGCCCGGGGGCUUCGAUCGAGCACCGGU
Blastococcus saxobsidens DD2 is the source of this 86-nucleotide regulatory RNA element. It matches the Rfam family "Actino-pnp RNA". NCBI's taxonomy places the organism in Bacteria, Bacillati, Actinomycetota, Actinomycetes, Geodermatophilales, Geodermatophilaceae. The record is from Rfam.